RNAcentral lists this ribosomal RNA (547 nucleotides) under Salmonella enterica subsp. enterica serovar Newport. RNAcentral's name for it is "partial 23S ribosomal RNA". It matches the Rfam family "Bacterial large subunit ribosomal RNA", at positions 1 to 587 of the family's 2925-position model. Lineage: Bacteria; Pseudomonadati; Pseudomonadota; Gammaproteobacteria; Enterobacterales; Enterobacteriaceae. The record is from RNAcentral.
GGUUAAGCGACUAAGCGUACACGGUGGAUGCCCUGGCAGUCAGAGGCGAUGAAGGGCGUGCUAAUCUGCGAUAAGCGCCGGUAAGGUGAUAUGAACCGUUAUAACCGGCGAUACCCGAAUGGGGAAACCCAGUGUGACUCGUCACACUAUCAUUAACUGAAUCCAUAGGUUAAUGAGGCGAACCGGGGGAACUGAAACAUCUAAGUACCCCGAGGAAAAGAAAUCAACCGAGAUUCCCCCAGUAGCGGCGAGCGAACGGGGAGGAGCCCAGAGCCUGAAUCAGCAUGUGUGUUAGUGGAAGCGUCUGGAAAGGCGCGCGAUACAGGGUGACAGCCCCGUACACAAAAGCGCAUGUGCUGUGAGCUCGAUGAGUAGGGCGGGACACGUGAUAUCCUGUCUGAAUAUGGGGGGACCAUCCUCCAAGGCUAAAUACUCCUGACUGACCGAUAGUGAACCAGUACCGUGAGGGAAAGGCGAAAAGAACCCCGGCGAGGGGAGUGAAAAAGAACCUGAAACCGUGUACGUACAAGCAGUGGGAGCACCCUUU